UUGGGCUAUGGUGACAUGUAUCCCGAGACUUGGUCAGGCAUGUUGGUGGGAGCCUUGUGCGCCUUGGCUGGUGUGUUGACCAUUGCCAUGCCUGUGCCAGUCAUCGUCAACAAC
Regulatory RNA element from Anolis carolinensis (green anole), 114 nucleotides. It matches the Rfam family "Potassium channel RNA editing signal". From Rfam's summary of the family: This family represents a group of sequences related to the human potassium channel Kv1.1 hairpin element which directs the efficient modification of an adenosine to inosine by an adenosine deaminase acting on RNA (ADAR). The ADAR modification causes an isoleucine/valine recoding event which lies in the ion-conducting pore of the potassium channel. The record is from Rfam. Lineage: Eukaryota; Metazoa; Chordata; Lepidosauria; Squamata; Anolidae.